Molecule: ribosomal RNA, 441 nt
Filed under: uncultured bacterium
Lineage: Bacteria
Description: partial 16S ribosomal RNA
Rfam family: Bacterial small subunit ribosomal RNA
Source: RNAcentral
CCUACGGGAGGCAGCAGUGGGGAAUAUUGCACAAUGGGGGAAACCCUGAUGCAGCGACGCCGCGUGAGUGAAGAAGUAUUUCGGUAUGUAAAGCUCUAUCAGCAGGGAAGAAGAAAGACGGUACCUGACUAAGAAGCCCCGGCUAACUACGUGCCAGCAGCCGCGGGAAUACGUAGGGGGCAAGCGUUACUCGGAUUUACGGGGUGUAAAGGGAGCGUAGACGGUAUGGCAAGUCUGAAGUGAAAGCCCAGGGCUUAACCCUGGGACUGCAUUGGAAACUGUUAGACUAGAGUGCUGGAGAGGGAAGUGGAAUUCCUAGAGUAGCGGUGAAAUGCGUAGAUAUUAGGAGGAACACCAGUGGCGAAGGCGGCUUACUGGACAGUAACUGACGUUGAGGCUCGAAAGCGUGGGGAGCAAACAGGAUUAGAUACCCCAGUAGUC